Long non-coding RNA from Salvia splendens (bonfire salvia), 488 nucleotides. RefSeq lists it as uncharacterized. The transcript is spliced from 4 exons. Lineage: Eukaryota; Viridiplantae; Streptophyta; Magnoliopsida; Lamiales; Lamiaceae. The record is from RefSeq and is a predicted model, not a curated record.
CUAAUAUCCCACAUUCACGUCUUUCACAUCCAAGUAAAAUCUGUGAGAAAAACCUACUACAGUUUUCUCCUCUUCCGUCAAGUGUAAAAGAGAAACUGGGAGAGCUGUGAUUACCUUCUGUGGUGCAAACUUUCUUCUUCCCAAAGGGUGAGCUUGUGCACGUUGUUUGCGGUGGGAACAGAAAGUGAUUGAGGAGUAAGCGUUUGAGAUUGAGCGGCGAUGGACGUGGAGGAUGUUGAGCAGAGUUCAUGGAUUGUUUUGUCAUGAUUAAUAAUUGUUGGAUUUGUCGUGUCUUCAUACUCGGCAUUUUCUGUGUCUUGAACGCUUCCGCUAAGAGUCCUUUUCUUUAGAAUUGUUUAUUCGUGCAGAGUCUAACUCGUUUGAAAAUUGUUUACUGUCCACUGUUUAUUUCCUUAGAGUUGGUAUUAUUGUUAGGAAAAUAUUAUGACGUUUUCAAGGUUAAUUCAGUUAUUAAGAUUUUGGUCAAA